RNAcentral lists this ribosomal RNA (449 nucleotides) under uncultured bacterium. Its description in RNAcentral is "partial 16S ribosomal RNA". It matches the Rfam family "Bacterial small subunit ribosomal RNA", at positions 29 to 523 of the family's 1533-position model. The record is from RNAcentral.
AACGAACGCUGGCGGCAGGCCUAACACAUGCAAGUCGAACGCCGUAGCAAUACGGAGUGGCAGACGGGUGAGUAACGCGUGGGAACGUACCCUUCAGUUCGGAAUAACCCAGGGAAACUUGGGCUAAUACCGGAUACGUGCGAGAGCAGAAAGAUUUAUCGCUGAAGGAUCGGCCCGCGUCCGAUUAGCUAGUUGGUGAGGUAAUGGCUCACCAAGGCGACGAUCGGUAGCUGGUCUGAGAGGAUGAUCAGCCACAUUGGGACUGAGACACGGCCCAAACUCCUACGGGAGGCAGCAGUGGGGAAUAUUGGACAAUGGGCGCAAGCUUGAUCCAGCCAUGCCGCGUGAGUGAUGAAGGCCCUAGGGUUGUAAAGCUCUUUCGCCAGGGACGAUAAUGACGGUACCUGGAUAAGAAGCCCCGGCUAACUUCGUGCCAGCCGCCGCAGUAA